Molecule: long non-coding RNA, 378 nt
Organism: Neoarius graeffei (lesser salmon catfish)
Lineage: Eukaryota; Metazoa; Chordata; Actinopteri; Siluriformes; Ariidae
Exons: 3
Source: RefSeq, a predicted model, not a curated record
ACAACACUUCUACCCAGACAUGAACAGGAACGGUGGAAGAAGCUCUAAGUCAACACAUUAGACAGGUGGAACUCAAACAAGAGGUUACAUUCUUCAAAGCAGCAAUGAUGAGCAGCAGCCGAGAACUCUUUGGGCAAUGGCUGGAUGAAGUGGGGUUCCCUUUCUUUCCUUCCCUCCUAUCCAAACUAUUCUUUUCUUCCUCCACUGGAGACACUCAAAGCAGAAAAACUGCACAGAAAGUGGCGAAAAGCCUGAACAAGAGGUUGAUGAACCAUCACCAUGGUGAAAUAAAACCCAGCAAAGACUAAGUGGACUCUUUCUUUUAUCUUUCUUUCCUCAAUUCAUACUAGUUAAACUUAAGUUAAUGAAGAUUUAUGU